Molecule: non-coding RNA, 21 nt
Organism: Caenorhabditis elegans
Lineage: Eukaryota; Metazoa; Nematoda; Chromadorea; Rhabditida; Rhabditidae
Source: Ensembl
UUAGCGAGUAAGUGUGCGUUA